Molecule: ribosomal RNA, 212 nt
Filed under: uncultured bacterium
Lineage: Bacteria
Description: partial 16S ribosomal RNA
Rfam family: Bacterial small subunit ribosomal RNA
Source: RNAcentral
CAGUUCAGAUUGUAGGCUGAAACUCGCCUAUAUGAAGUCGGAAUUGCUAGUAAUCGCGGAUCAGCAUGCCGCGGUGAAUACGUUCCCGGGCCUUGUACACACCGCCCGUCACACCAUGAGAGUCGAUAACACCCGAAGCCUGUAGUCUAACAGCAAUGAGGACGCAGUCGAAGGUGGGAUUGAUAAUUAGGGUGAAGUCGUAACAAGGUAGC